RNAcentral lists this ribosomal RNA (120 nucleotides) under Lactococcus lactis. Lineage: Bacteria; Bacillati; Bacillota; Bacilli; Lactobacillales; Streptococcaceae. The record is from RNAcentral.
AAUGAUUUGGUCAUCAUUGCGAUGGAGAUACACCUGUUCCCAUGUCGAACACAGAAGUUAAGUCCAUCUACGGCGGAAGUACUUGGGGGUUGCCCCUGGGAGAUAGGCGAGUGGCCAAGU